GUUUAAAAUGUCCAGGAUUGAGAAGGGGCUGGGCCUAGUGGAGACAGGCUUGCAAACCUCCCCCAAAGACUCCAGGCCUACAGCUGCCAUGCUCCAGUGCGGACAGACAAUCGGACGGCAGGGCCACUCUGAGCAAGCAAGGGAGCCCAGAGCCGCUGUUGGCCCUGCCCACCAACUGGCCAGAGGGAAGGCCUUCUGUGAUUUGUGGGGGCUGCAUCAUUCCUCUCUCCAGAAGAUCUUCUCUCUUCUAAGGGCAUCAAGACAUUUUAGAGCCACUCAGCUCAGCUCCCAGCUUCCUUGAGAUCCCACGGCACCUGCAGCCCUGCUGGCCCAUUCUGCACUGCCCGCUCAUGAAGCUGUCUCUCCUUUCUUAGCCAGUAGUAAGCCUCCCCACCAGGCCCGUGGACUCCGUGGGAGGUGAGCUCCAGAAGGGAAGGGAGUUCUUUCACAGCUUUCUGUCUCUGUAUCUCCUGUGACUUGAAUGGACUCAGCACACAGCAGGCCUGAGUGAAGGAUGCUUGUGGUUGCUAUGGCUUACAUGACAACGAAUUGUCUGUAAUCCUACAGGACUAUGGCACAUGAAAGCUGGAAGCGCUUCUUUCCGACUGCAUCGCCCAGCACCAGAGCCCGAGUUCUGUAAAGCUCUGUUAAAGGCACAUGAGCUGUGCUGGCUUCAACUGCCCUGAACUUGGAUAAGCUGGGCCGCUGAUGGACCCUUCCCAACCGGUUGUUGCUGCCUUGGUUUCCCGACAGUCCACUGUGCUGACCCUGCAGCAGGGACUCCCAGCUUUGCAUCAACUCCAUUCAACACCUACUGUGUGCAGGGACCAGAGGGUGUGGAGGUGGCAUUCCCUGCUUUAUCUUGAUAAGUAAACGUUUGUCUCCUGCCCACUCAUCAGUGAAGCAGAACAACUACCUAGCAGUCUCCUGGGAGCCACCCCUCCAGAACCUCUGGAUGUCAACAGACACCAUCUACUUAUAGGAUUCAGCCAGCACAUGUGUAGACUGGAGCUGCAGGAUGGUCAUCAAAUGAAAGGAGUCCCUGGAGAAACUAUUACCUGGUCCCCACAGGAGUUAACCUGACUGCCCAAGUUCACCAGUCAGCAGCCUAGCGUGUCACCUUGUGAGUUAAAAUGCGUUUAAA
RNAcentral lists this long non-coding RNA (1144 nucleotides) under Homo sapiens (human). Its description in RNAcentral is "HSALNT0214960". Lineage: Eukaryota; Metazoa; Chordata; Mammalia; Primates; Hominidae. The record is from RNAcentral.